AUCCUGGAACAACACCAACACGACGAUAUCAGAUCAACCUUCUACAAAUGUCUGCAAACACUCACUGUUGUUCCCUUCCCUGAUCUCCUCUACGUACUUAAAAGGAUUUAAACCAAACAUUUCACAUGUUUGGAGUCAUUGCUCCAAAAGACCUGUCGUCACUGAGUUUCAGUCCAUUUCUGGUGUAAUUUGACAUACCUUAGGUUUUCCCCAUUAUUUCUCUUCUUUUAAAAGAUGGUUUCUUUGACUGAUAGAAUCUCUGUCAUGAUACUUUUAUAUAUUCAUCUACUUCAUUCUGCAUAAAGUACAGCUCAGAUUUCAUUGGCUGAGCCUGUAUCAGCAACAGAAGCUUCAAAAAAGCUCCAUUUGUAGGUCAGUCACUAUAUCCAAGUGUGCGUGUUGGGGGAUUUCAAGUUAUCUGCCAUUCAUGAUUUGUGCACUAACAGCAAAGUGUUUUCACAGCUGAAUAAAUGUUAGGGUUAACAUAUGAUGACCAGAUUGAAGAAAACAAUCAAGCAGGCAAACUAUAUAUGUUGACUUAAAACAGCCGGAACUUGGUGAUUUAAACAUCAAUAAAUUAAUUAAAAUGAAGAGGUUAGCACAGUCCACAACCCUGCAGGCAAAAACACAGACCGGAAAUUAAUUCACUGUCAUGCACCAGAGCAUUUUAUUUUUAUUGUUACAUCAUACCUCAGGCAGGUUGAUGGAACAGGUCAGCUGCACAGCUGCUUGUGCCUGGGUUAGUUAAAAGACCUGAUGGAGAACCAUGUGUUGCUGGAUGUGGAGUAACAUCAGUGGAACUCAGUCAAGUGUGGAGCCAUGAAACGUCUUUCUUAUUUCCUGUCUCCUGAGUGCAGGGCACUCUGGGUUAAGGUAUAAAGUAGGUAUUCUGGAGUCAUAAGACACGUGUUUCUGUUGGCUAAGGAAAGGAUUAGAAUGAGUGGUUAGAUAAGAGGUUACCUCUGUUGGCUCAGGACUUUGGGCACAUAUAAAUUGCUAAAAGUUUUGACAUGGAGCCAACAACAAUAUCUGUGUACUGUGUCACAUAAGGAUUAAAUAUUUUAUAGGUUUUACGCUAAGAGUGAACAACUAGCCUAGGUGCAGAUGUAUCAAAUAUUCUGUUGCAUUACCAGCUCCUAGAAACCCAUGACACCAGGCAUACUUUUCUCUUGAGUCACAUGAAUGUCUGCAUUGUGUAAUAUCCUGCCUCUAUUAAACUUCUGUUUUCAGCUUGCCUCAUGAGAAUUUAGUUGCCUGUGGUACCUUGUUGUAGUAGAUUAGAGCUAACUGGUGGGACGUGGCUACUGCUCUCUCACACACACACAAUCAUCAUCUCUGUGAAUCUCCAGGAGGAUCAGGGAGAUUUUCUACAAGCAAGAAGGAAACCAGGUGCACACGUCCUCCAGAACCGUUCUUCUUUCCUGCUGAAGACUAAGAUGGCCACUUGCGGGUCAUGUUUCUGGUGCAUCAUAUGGCUCAUUGUUCUGCUGUUCAUUGGCUGGCCCAUCAGCAUCGCUUUAGGGGGUCUCUACGGCCUCAUCAGCCCCCUCACCACCUGCCUUGGUCUGGACCGACUGUCUGAUUUACUCCUGGAGGGAGCUAAUGUGGGCAGAACCUGUGCCAAUAACAUGAGGCACAGCAAGCCUUUGUGUUGAAAUCCAUCCUGUCUGAUCAGGACCAGAAAAAACAGAGGUCGAAGCCUUCACCUCAGGAAGAACUGUUAAUGUCUGAUUUAUGUGGAGCUAUUCCAGCCCGACUGGUGCAUAAUUCCCUGAGAAACCUUCCAGCAACUUAUGUCACAAUAAGGUCCAGAAAGUCCUGGAAAAUUGAUUCCUCUCUCACUGGUAACAUGUAAUUAACUACAGAUUUUAAAUUUGCAUGGGUUUGUCAGGAAGAAAAUAGGCUUGCAGUGCAUGGUCUGUGUUUGCUGUUUAAUUCACGAUGACGCUGCGUGGAGACGAUAAGAACGAAAAUGCCAAUUUAACAAUGAAAAUAUUUAGACUUGGUAAUGUCUGUAUGGAAAUAUAUGGAAAUGCGAUUAAAACUGCUUUGAACUUG
This is a long non-coding RNA of Haplochromis burtoni (Burton's mouthbrooder), 2058 nucleotides long. RefSeq lists it as uncharacterized. The record is from RefSeq and is a predicted model, not a curated record. NCBI's taxonomy places the organism in Eukaryota, Metazoa, Chordata, Actinopteri, Cichliformes, Cichlidae. The transcript has 2 exons.